UUUGACAAUCCUGCAUCCUCCAAUUCUGGCAUUCUUAAUUUCUGGCAAUUCCUAGUCCCUAAUUCACCUUCAGGCCUUCACUUCUAUGUUACUUACUCUAAGAAGCCUUCCAGCACUCCCGAGACUGGCUUAGGUGCCUGAAUAGAAAAGCAUCAAAUAUUUAUUAACUUUGUGGUAUCAUCAUAUUUUUUCGUAAGUUUUAUCGUUUUGCUCUCCCUCAACAUUACCAAAAGUUCACUUAAGAAAUCCACACUGCCAUAUUCAGAAUCAUAACUCUAGCAUUUAAAGUAGAUUUAGGAUAUCAUUUAUGUUCAAUAAAAUAUGCGGCAGUAUUAAAGGAAUUCCAAACAAAAUGUACAUAAGAUGUAUAAGAUAUAAUUAAGAGGAAAAAAGGAAGAAAAGACAGAAGAAAUCCAAAAUUUAAUUUGUCAGAUCAUAAUAUUGGCUAGGCCUUGAUUUUUGUCCUUGGUGGCUAACAUAGGACUAAAGCCAGUCUCGGAUUUAUCAUCAUCAACAUCAGUGUGAGAGGAGAGUCUUCAAAGAUAUACUUAAACAGAUAUGCCAUAAUGAGGCAAAAUAACAUUAUCAACGACCUGUGACAAUCUUUUUCUAAGAUUAUUACAAUAGUUCUAUAUGGAAAGUAAAGAGCUUUAGUAAAAAUCUAGGUUACUUUUAGAAGCAAUGAGACUCUACUAGAAAGAAAUACACUCUGUAAAAGAGUGUGAAGUAGCCUUUAGUGUGUGCCUUUAAUGUCUUCAACUAUAAUUUAUGUCACUUCAGUAAAGCCAUUACUCCAUAAUCAAAAAUUCUUCCUUUUGGUUUUACAGGAAGAUUGAAAUUGAAAUUAAUACCUUAAUGUAGAAACAUGAUGAACUGCCUGUCGGUAAAGUCCGUGCUUGUACUUUUACAAAGUUCAAUAUCUAGUUCUUCUUGGGUACUAUGACUCAUCUUCAUGGAAAUCAUUUGUGGCAUUAAAGAAAGAAAAGGGAUGGGAGAGAUAAGCAUAAAUCAUAAGCCAAUAAAGCCUGGACUCACUCUCUGGCAGUGUCCUGACAGGGAGUCAAGAUAUUUUCUGGAAACAAGGCUGCUUGAUGCACCAGACGGCCAGCCUCUACACUCAGGACUAUAACCCAGAUUCUCACUGCCCAAAUGAGACAAAAAUAACAGAUUGUGGAGGCCAGAACAUAGCCAGUCCAUCGAUAGCCACACACUGGCUGUGAGCAGAGGUGCCUCUCUGAAACUCUGGUGUAGUCUCUGACAGCAAAAGAGCAUAACUGUACAUUAAGACUGGAUUUCCCACAAGUCCCCAUGAAAUGAAGUUUUGGAGUCAAAAUUAAGCUGAUUUAUAGAGAAUGAAGAACUGCUUUCUCUAAGUCAAUAUUCCUUGCAUAACUGUUUGCAUUGUGGGAAUUUUAUUCUAAAUAGCAUAUUUCUCCACAUAUUUUUCAGUCAGUUUAUAUUAAACACCCAUUAUAU
This 1476-nucleotide long non-coding RNA is filed under the name Callithrix jacchus (white-tufted-ear marmoset). RNAcentral's name for it is "lncRNA (ENSCJAG00000083665.1)". The record is from RNAcentral. Lineage: Eukaryota; Metazoa; Chordata; Mammalia; Primates; Cebidae.